This 254-nucleotide ribosomal RNA is filed under the name uncultured bacterium. Its description in RNAcentral is "partial 16S ribosomal RNA". It matches the Rfam family "Bacterial small subunit ribosomal RNA", at positions 524 to 776 of the family's 1533-position model. The record is from RNAcentral.
UACGGGGGGAGCAAGCGUUGUUCGGAUUUACUGGGCGUAAAGGGCGCGUAGGCGGCCAGCGCAAGUCAGUUGUGAAAUCUCCGGGCUUAACUCGGAAAGGUCAACUGAUACUGCGCGGCUAGAGUGCAGAAGGGGCAACUGGAAUUCUCGGUGUAGCGGUGAAAUGCGUAGAUAUCGAGAGGAACACCUGCGGCGAAGGCGGGUUGCUGGGCUGACACUGACGCUAAUGCACGAAAGCGUGGGGAGCAAACAGG